UAGGUUGCUGUGAGACCUGGGAGAAGUCUAUCAGAAGUACAGACCCCAAAAGGGAAGCCGCAACUCCACCAGAUUCAACCAAGGAUCAGGAGUCCUAGGACAUGCUCCAGGGUCCCCCAGCUUCUCCAUUCCUUGCCCUCUGGUCUUCUCUUUACCUCCGCUGGUCUCAUCCACUGCUAUGUAUUUGGUUCUACCAAUUUCUUGACUUUAUUCCAGGUACUGUACUGUGUUGUGUGGAGGAGGGGGAAAUGACCAGAAACAUCCUUGAGAAACCUUCCAGACAAAAGAGAAGUUGGGAGAGGUGCUUUCUGGUGUUGUUGGAGUUCCAAAUAGAUUAGCUGGGAGCUCCAGAGAUCACCUGUCUUGUACCCCUCGAUCUUUUCAGGGCACAUAAGCAUGCGGGUGCACACACACACACACACACACACACACAUUUACUCUGGGGAUCCUUGUGGUCCUCAGCUUUGGCCUCACUGUGGGAUAAACUGGCUGCUGCCUCAGGCUUUGGACCUCUGCACCAUGGCUCCAGGCUGGGGCCCUGCCUGAGUUCUCCCUCUUUGUUCCAGGUGGCCAUGCUUUGGACCUUUUUUUCCACACUCAGAUUCUGAGCAUUGGGUCCAGCACCUUGGCAUGCAGGUGAACCCAAAGACUACUCUCCUCAGGCCUGGACCGUCAUCCCCCAAAAUACUUUCUCCGGGCCCGGCAGGCAGUACCCCUGACUAGGCUGUGGAGACAGAGGCACCACUUGCCUGCGCCAGCAAGGAGCCUUGAAGUCCCCAUGAAGUGAAGGGUGGAGGUCUUUGGGCCAGCAAGCUCCAGUAGAGAUAGGAGUCAGUCCUAGAGUUUCUGAAGCUGGAAACAAACACCCAGUUUGGGCAGACUGCAACCAGGAUCCUGAGACUCAGGAAUCUCGACUCUGCAGGCAGCUGGACCAGCAGACACAUACAAUGGUUCCAUUCCCGGAAUUUUUACUAACUGAAGGAUUUUGGGCAACACCACAACCUCUCCGACCUCAUUUUGUCAUGUGCAGAAAUACAGCCAAUGCUGCCUGAGAAGCUGGAGAGGGUAGCAGUGACGCUGUCAGGGAAGGGGAUGAGUAAUCCAAAGUCUCUACUUUCUGAUUUUGAUGCUAUCCACACCACUGUGGUUUUGGAAACUCAGAACUCCAUGAACAGUGCAAAGUGUGAAUUUUACUGUGUGUAAUUACAUCUUAAUAAAACUGCCCCCUCCAAAAAAAAGAGAGACUUGUAUUCAC
This 1255-nucleotide long non-coding RNA is filed under the name Heterocephalus glaber (naked mole-rat). Its description in RNAcentral is "lncRNA (ENSHGLG00100039750.1)". Lineage: Eukaryota; Metazoa; Chordata; Mammalia; Rodentia; Bathyergidae. The record is from RNAcentral.